Ochotona curzoniae (black-lipped pika) is the source of this 174-nucleotide long non-coding RNA. RefSeq lists it as uncharacterized. The record is from RefSeq and is a predicted model, not a curated record. Lineage: Eukaryota; Metazoa; Chordata; Mammalia; Lagomorpha; Ochotonidae. The transcript has 3 exons.
GCAUUUAAAUGAAAUAAUGCGGCUUCUACAAUCCCCGCUCAUCAGGUGGCUCAGCCUCCAGAGUCUGCCGAUCUCAGUCUGAAAACCGCCAGAAUGGAACCUAUGACCCCUGUGCUGUCCCCUGUGCCCAUGCACAAGCUCCCAAUAAACCUUGCCUGCGUGUCAUCUUGGCCU